ACUCCUACGGGAGGCAGCAGUAAGGAAUAUUGGUCAAUGGACGCAAGUCUGAACCAGCCAUGCCGCGUGAAGGAUUAAGGUCCUCUGGAUUGUAAACUUCUUUUAUCUGGGACGAAAAAAGGCGAUUCUUCGUCACUUGACGGUACCAGAUGAAUAAGCACCGGCUAACUCCGUGCCAGCAGCCGCGGUAAUACGGAGGGUGCAAGCGU
RNAcentral lists this ribosomal RNA (209 nucleotides) under uncultured bacterium. RNAcentral's name for it is "partial 16S ribosomal RNA". It matches the Rfam family "Bacterial small subunit ribosomal RNA", at positions 335 to 541 of the family's 1533-position model. The record is from RNAcentral.